GACUGCGUAGCUCAGUUGGCAGAGCGUUGGGCUAGUAUGCCAAAGGUCGUAGGUUCGAUUCCCACCGUGACCA
This 73-nucleotide transfer RNA is filed under the name Paramuricea clavata. It matches the Rfam family "tRNA". From Rfam's summary of the family: Transfer RNA (tRNA) molecules are approximately 80 nucleotides in length. Their secondary structure includes four short double-helical elements and three loops (D, anti-codon, and T loops). Lineage: Eukaryota; Metazoa; Cnidaria; Anthozoa; Malacalcyonacea; Plexauridae. The record is from Rfam by way of RNAcentral.